RNAcentral lists this ribosomal RNA (253 nucleotides) under uncultured bacterium. RNAcentral's name for it is "partial 16S ribosomal RNA". It matches the Rfam family "Bacterial small subunit ribosomal RNA", at positions 524 to 776 of the family's 1533-position model. The record is from RNAcentral.
UACAGAGGUCCCAAGCGUUGUUCGGAUUCACUGGGCGUAAAGGGUGCGUAGGUGGUGAGGUAAGUCGGAUGUGAAAGCUCUGAGCUCAACUCCGAAAUGGCAUUGGAAACUACCUUGCUCGAGGGUUGGAGGGGGGACUGGAAUGCUUGGUGUAGCAGUGAAAUGCGUAGAUAUCAAGCGGAACACCAGUGGCGAAGGCGAGUCCCUGGACAACUCCUGACACUGAGGCACGAAAGCUAGGGGAGCAAACAGG